CUGGCGGUAUGCUUACACAUGCAAGUCGAACGGUCUUUUCGGAGACAGUGGCGGACGGGUGAGUAACGCGUAAGAAUCUACCCCCAGGUCGGGGACAACCACUGGAAACGGUGGCUAAUACCGGAUGUGCCGAGAGGUGAAAGGCUUGCUGCCUGGGGAAGAGCUUGCGUCUGAUUAGCUAGUUGGUAGUGUAAGGGACUACCAAGGCGACGAUCAGUAGCUGGUCUGAGAGGAUGAUCAGCCACACUGGGACUGAGACACGGCCCAGACUCCUACGGGAGGCAGCAGUGGGGAAUUUUCCGCAAUGGGCGAAAGCCUGACGGAGCAAUACCGCGUGAGGGAGGAAGGCUCUUGGGUUGUAAACCUCUUUUCUCAGGGAAGAAAAAAAUGACGGUACCUGAGGAAUAAGCAUCGGCUAACUCCGUGCCAGCAGCCGCGGUAAUACGGAGGAUGCAAGCGUUAUCCGGAAUGAUUGGGCGUAAAGGGUCCGCAGGUGGCAUUGUAAGUCUGCUGUUAAAGAGUCUAGCUCAACUAGAUAAAAGCAGUGGAAACUACAAAGCUAGAGUUUGGUCGGGGCAGAAGGAAUUCCUGGUGUAGCGGUGAAAUGCGUGGAUAUCAGGAAGAACACCAGUGGCGAAGGCGUUCUGCUAGGCCGAGACUGACACUGAGGGACGAAAGCUAGGGGAGCGAAUGGGAUUAGAUACCCCAGUAGUCCUAGCCGUAAACGAUGGAUACUAGGCGUAGCUCGUAUCGACCCGAGCUGUGCCGGAGCUAACGCGU
Molecule: ribosomal RNA, 780 nt
Filed under: uncultured cyanobacterium
Lineage: Bacteria; Bacillati; Cyanobacteriota
Description: bacterial SSU rRNA
Rfam family: Bacterial small subunit ribosomal RNA
Source: RNAcentral